AAUUCGAUGAUACGCGAGGAACCUUACCUGGGCUUAAAUGCAGAGUGAUUUACUGAGAAAUGAGUAUUCCUUCGGGCAAUCUGCAAGGUGCUGCAUGGCUGUCGUCAGCUCGUGCCGUGAGGUGUCGGGUUAAGUCCCAUAACGAGCGCAACCCCUACCCUUAGUUGCCAUCCUUAAGUUGGGCACUCUAUGGGAACUGCCAGCGUAAGCUGUGAGGAAGGUGGGGAUGAUGUCAAGUCAUCACGGCCCUUACGUCCAGGGCUACACACGUGCUACAAUGGUAUAUACAAAGGGCAGCCACUCUGCGAGGAGGCGCGAACCCUAAAAGUAUAUCACAGUUCGGAUUGGAGUCUGCAACUCGACUCUAUGAAGCUGGAAUCGCUAGUAAUCGCGCAUCAGCCAUGGCGCGGUGAAUACGUUCCCGGGCCUUGUACACACCGCCCGUCAAGCCAUGGGAGCUGGGGGUGCCUGAAGUCGGUAACCGAAAGGAUCCGCCUAGGGUAAAACUAGUGACUGGGGC
This 520-nucleotide ribosomal RNA is filed under the name uncultured bacterium. RNAcentral describes it as "bacterial SSU rRNA". It matches the Rfam family "Bacterial small subunit ribosomal RNA", at positions 948 to 1481 of the family's 1533-position model. The record is from RNAcentral.